UCUCCGUUGGUGAACCAGCGGAGGGAUCAUUACCGAGUUAUCAACUUCCAAACCCUUGUUAACCUCCUCUACGUUUCUUCGGCGGGACCGCCCCGGCGCCCUCGGCGUCCCGGAACCAGGCGCCCGCCGGAGGACCCAAAAUAUUGUUUAAACCAUAGCUGCAUAUUCUGAGUCUCACAAGAAAAAUGAAUCAAAACUUUCAACAACGGAUCUCUUGGCUCUG
Molecule: unclassified non-coding RNA, 223 nt
Filed under: plant metagenome
Description: partial contains small subunit ribosomal RNA, internal transcribed spacer 1, and 5.8S ribosomal RNA
Source: RNAcentral